UACGUAGGGUGCAGGCGUUAAUCGGAAUUACUGGGCGUAAAGCGUGCGCAGGCGGUCUUUUAAGUCAGAUGUGAAAUCCCCGGGCUUAACCUGGGAACUGCGUUUGAAACUGGAAGGCUUGAGUGUGGCAGAGGGGGGUGGAAUUCCACGUGUAGCAGUGAAAUGCGUAGAGAUGUGGAGGAACACCGAUGGCGAAGGCAGCCCCCUGGGCUAGCACUGACGCUCAGGCACGAAAGCGUGGGGAGCAAACAGG
Molecule: ribosomal RNA, 253 nt
Filed under: uncultured bacterium
Lineage: Bacteria
Description: partial 16S ribosomal RNA
Rfam family: Bacterial small subunit ribosomal RNA
Source: RNAcentral